Molecule: ribosomal RNA, 207 nt
Filed under: uncultured bacterium
Lineage: Bacteria
Description: partial 16S ribosomal RNA
Rfam family: Bacterial small subunit ribosomal RNA
Source: RNAcentral
CGCGUAGGCGGAGGACCAAGUCCGGGGUGAAAUCUUUCGGCUCAACCGGAAAACUGCCUUGGAUACUGGUCUUCUUGAGGGAGGUAGGGGCAGGUGGAACUUCCGGUGGAGCGGUGAAAUGCGUUGAUAUCGGAAGGAACGCCGGUGGCGAAAGCGGCCUGCUGGAUCUCUUCUGACGCUGAGGCGCGGAAGCUAGGGUAGCGAAAG